Molecule: non-coding RNA, 778 nt
Organism: Petromyzon marinus (sea lamprey)
Lineage: Eukaryota; Metazoa; Chordata; Hyperoartia; Petromyzontiformes; Petromyzontidae
Source: RefSeq, a predicted model, not a curated record
GAUCGAUUCUGGAAAAAGGCGGGAUAAGAUGCGUGUGGGUGUCUCGCUGUUGAGGCAGAGAUCGCGAGGGGCUUUACGCGACCGUGGUGCUCGCAACGAGCUCCUUGUAAAAUAAAUUACAUCUCUAAAAAGGAGAGGGCGGGGGGGGAAGGGGAAACUCGGCAUUUACUAAAAUAAGUUAGCGCAUUUAAAAAAAAACUAAUUGCAUUAAAAAAAUGUGACAAUUUUUUGUUGUUGCAAUUAAGCGUUUUGAGGCACCGUUUUCAGUGUAUAGGCAUCGCCUAUAGAAUCAACAGGUAGCGGGCAAUAUCAUCGUUAUUAAUAUCGUUCUUGGCAUCUAUCUCACAAGAAUAUAUUGUGCAUCCUUUAAGCCACAACCUCCCCCUGGGCCGGACGUCUGAGAGAGACAGCGGAAGUCUCAGGAUCCUCCUCAUUUGCUCGGAAGAGGAGGGGAGACGAUGACCGCCGCUCGCCGCGCUGCCAUCCGGGCUCCGCCCCCCACCUCGCCCCCCACGCCCCCUCCUCCGCCUCCGCCCCCCAACGUCAAUCGCACAGCGGGGGGAGACGGCGGCGGGGGGCUCCCCCGCAUCCGGGACAAGUUCAUGAACGAGCUGGGCAGCCUGCCCCGUGCGUGGUGCAUAUACAAACAUUGCCACCUCGGCCACCACCGACCGCCAUCGUCAUUAACACCGUUAUAUAUCGCCAAACUCAUUUAUUUAGCACGGUCACCGCAUCGCGCGCCCUCAAGAUGUUCUUCUGCUGGCCAUCUGGAACGCUG